UACGAUAGGGUGCAAGCGUUGUCCGGAAUUAUUGGGCGUAAAGAGCUCGUAGGUGGUUCGUCACGUCGGGCGUGAAACUCCGUGGGCUUAACCCACGAACUGCACUCGAUACUGCGGAACUUGAGUACCGGAGAGGUGAGCGGAAUUCACGGUGUAGCGGUGAAAUGCGUAGAUAUCGUGAGGAACACCGGUGGCGAAGGCGGCUCACUGGCCGGAUACUGACACUAAGGGACGAAGGCGUGGGG
Molecule: ribosomal RNA, 245 nt
Filed under: uncultured bacterium
Lineage: Bacteria
Description: partial 16S ribosomal RNA
Rfam family: Bacterial small subunit ribosomal RNA
Source: RNAcentral